Molecule: long non-coding RNA, 915 nt
Filed under: Solanum tuberosum (potato)
Lineage: Eukaryota; Viridiplantae; Streptophyta; Magnoliopsida; Solanales; Solanaceae
Description: long non-coding RNA (STUB_LNC006528)
Source: RNAcentral
ACUAGCACACAUCGAGGGUAAAAUGAGAACAGGUUGCUUGUGAUGAUUUCAUCAUGUCCUAUGUCAACCUCCAGAUGCACCGGUCUGCAGGAACCAUGAUGACUUAAGGUGUUCAAAAGGAAGAGGUAGUUAUAACUUAAUCACAUGAAGGAAGUUAUCCCGAAAGACCUACACUCUCUUGAAAUCUAUGCAAACCUAGCAAAAGAUCGGGCACAAUGAAAGAAAAGGAUCUAUGUGGAUGAUACCAGUUAGUUGGUUUAAGCUUUAAUUAUGCUAAUAUGUUUACUUUCGAUCCCAAUGUUUGUUGGGAGUUUUUAGGUCUUGUUUGAGAUUUCAUGCGUGGGAAAUGCAGACAGCUUCUAGUGCUACAAAAACUAAUUCUUUAUUAUAUUUGAACUUAGACAAAGCUUAAUUGAGUGACAUGGACAAUGAGAAUUCAUAUAGCCGAGGAUUCACAUAGACGGUCUUAAAUAGAGGGACAGUGGAUAUUUCUUGGAAUAUUGAAGAUGAGAAAAAGUAAAGCUUACCUUAGCUUUGGUUAAGGGAGACUGGUAUGUCUGCAUAACUGUCAUGUAUGUUUCCAUAGCAGGUACUGGUUCUGGAACAACUCUCCUGCUGUUGUUACAAAGGUCAAUACGGUUACUAUCUUCAAGAUUGCUUCUACUUUCAAUAUCAUAGUUCUUUAUGCUGGAAUUGUUGCUUUUAACAUCUUCCAUGUUUUAAAUGCAGGACACUUCCAAUAUUCUAGUUAAGAAGUUGCCGUACAUUGUGUCAUGCUUAUAUAGCUUCAAAAAAGCCUCAAGGACUAUCGAUUUGCAAACAGGGAUAUCGAUUUGGUUGAUCCUAAGAAUAAAACAAAAGAUAUAAGUUAGUGCUGCAAAUUCUAAAAGCCACAAGUUGCUGGAGAGGGAGCAG